RNA transcript from Salvia splendens (bonfire salvia), 4421 nucleotides. It is a transcript of the gene named calcium-dependent protein kinase 32, with no coding region annotated. The record is from RefSeq and is a predicted model, not a curated record. Lineage: Eukaryota; Viridiplantae; Streptophyta; Magnoliopsida; Lamiales; Lamiaceae. The transcript is spliced from 8 exons.
GCAGAAAAACAGUCAUAAUUAGGUAGUGGAGUUGUAGAAAACAAUCUAUAGCAAUCACCAGAUUCGCCAAACAAAUUCUCUACUCAAUCAAUCAAGAUUAUCCCAAAAAACCAUGAUUUCCCAUCAAGACGGUGAUGCUUUGCUAUUUUCCAUCCAUACUUGAAUUGAAUUGAAUAACUUUGUGAUUUGUCCAUACCAAUUAAGCUUAGUUCUUCACAAACCGCCUUUAUUAAAGACGGAUGCGUUUGUGAAUGACAGGCUCUCGCUUGACCUUCACGCACACCAUAGCCCCAUCCUCUUGUCUCUCUCCGUAAAUCCACACCGGUUUAGAGAGCAAUGGAUAUGGCAAUUGGUGUGUAUCGUCUAGGAGCUUCCACUCUGUAAAACGAAUCUCUACUCUAUUAGUGGCCGUUGUUGGCUGAAAAGGCAAUUUUUUGUGUGAAAUGCUCUGUUUCUGAAGCCUGCCACAGAUUUGUACCUCUGAAGAUCAAUGCAGGUUUGGUCUGACUAAGUGUGAAAGCUUCUUACGAGUUACUACACAACUAGUAGAGGCUGGUGACAUUUGUACUGUUUACGCCAUUGAUGAUAUUCAGACUGGGGAGACGAUUGCAGACAAAACCACGGGGAAGCCAUUGCCCUCCAUUAAGGUCGAAGAACAUUCGGUGAGAAUUGCUUUCUCAAUCAACAUUUCAUCAUUCGUGGGCCAUGAGGUAUAUGGCUGAACAUUUACUACAGUUAUGAGCUAUGCGGCACCGAUACGGAUACGUGUAUCCGUAUCCUUCGGAUACGGAUACGCGGGUACGGCUCUUUCCCAAACAACCCAAUACGCGGAUACGUUUUAACUAUUUUUUUUAAUAAAUAAUAAUAGUGCAUAAUAAAUUACAAAAUUGAUAUUCUAAUUCAACAUAGAGACAUUAAAGGUCUAUUACACUCAAAAUAACAUGAUAGCAGCAGGUUCUAAAUUAGGAAAUAAUUAAAAGGUAGUAGCAAACUAGCAUCAAGCCAUCAACAUCAAGCUUCUUCCUCAUUCCCCGUCUCCUCCAGCUCCACACCUUCAUCCUCGGCAUCACCCAAUCCAAAUGAUACAGCCUGCAACUCAGGUUCAUCAAUGGAGAGGUCAGCAACUUCAAGAAGACCUACACCACUAAGGGAAUCAAAAGAAUCUCCCCCAACAUCCCACAUCCUUGUCUCUCCUUUCUUGUAUGCAUCAGUUCUUCUUGACAAAUGUCUCAGAUUUGAGUGCACAAAGACCAAAUCUUCAGCCCGCUCAGGAGUUAAGGCAUUUCUCUUGACACUAUGGAUGAAGCUAUAUGUGCUCCAAUUUCUUUCACAGCAAGAAGAAGAGGCCGGUUGGCUGAGCAGUUUCAUGGCCAAACUCAUCAAAAGAGGGAUAGAUUGUCCAUGAUUUGUCCACCAUGUCAUUGGGGAAACAGCCCAUCUAUCAUGUAUAGAAUCAGGGUCAUUGAAUUCUUCUGAACAACUAGAAAACCUUGCAUAUUCUUCCUUUACUGCAGCCAACUCUUGCGGUAUGCGAAAGAAUUUCUUGAAGCAAGUCAUCCUCAUUUGUGAUAUUUCCUUGUCCUUGUGGGGGGGUAGUCGGCCAGCACCUUCUUGAAGCCACAUGUUGCUGUAAAAUCUGGAAUUGGCAGCAAUUUAGAUCAUGAAGUUAAAAUGAAAAAAUGAAGAGCAAAGAAUCUGAAUUUUAAUUGCACAGUGCAUAUUACCUUGGAUUGAGUGAAUGAGCCAAACAAUGAAGUGGAUUAUUGCCUUUUGUCCACCUAGCAAUCAAUAUAUCAUGAAUAACAGAGUAGAGGUCUGACUCCUCAUUUGGUUCCUUCCCUUCAUACAAAUAUAUUUCUUUCUUCACUUUCUCAAUCAUUGAAUCCCACAUCUCAUAGAUUAAGUGAAGACACGGGGUGUCGGUGUCUGCAAAGCGUAUCAUAUCAUAGAUAGGACUAGUGAACCUAAGAAUGUAUUCUACAUUGCCCCACCAGACAUCACUUAGUAUUUUUUCCUUUACAUGUUGGGCAGUUGAAGCAUCCUCUUUGUAGAUGCUCCAUUUGUCACUAAUCACCAUGUGUUGGAGAGCUGCUUUUACCUCAACAAACCGUUUUAGCAUACACACAACCGAUGCAAAUCUUGUUUCAGCAAUAGAGAGCAACUUCAAAUGGCUGAACUCAUUAAACAUGGAAAGACGCAUGCCAUGAUUCAUUAUGAAAUUCUUGAUCAUAGUAGCCUCAACUUUGACAUUGUUUAUAAAUUCUAAUUGACUCCAAACCUGCAUAUCCUCAUCAGUAGGUGUCCUUGGCAGUUUAGGUUCACAUAUAUUUUUCAUAGCAAGGUUGAGAGUAUGCACUACACAAGGUGUCCAAAAUAUGUGAUCAUUUUCAGCUUCAAUUAAAAGACCCGCACCUUUGCAAUUUGCAGCAUUAUCUGUGAUGAUUUGUACCACAUUUUGUCGACCUACUUCAUCAAUGAUAGCCCUCAACUUCUCAGCAAUAAAUUCUUUUGACUUGUAUUCUCCUUCUCAAUUGUCAGCCCUCAAAAACAUUGGUGCUUUCUCAGAAACAGCGGUGAAGUUGAUGAUUGGCCUCCUCUGAGGAUCUGACCAACCAUCAGAGCAGAUUGUGACCCUUUCUCUGGCCAUGUGCUCUUUGUACUCUCCAAUAGAGUCUCUAUGUGCCUUCUUUCUUGCUUGAGCAGUGAUUCCCUUGCCCUGUUAUACCCAGGUAUUGUGUAACUUGGCAAAUUGCGGCUGCAAGCAAAUGCAAAAGCUUCUCUAAAAUAUGGGUUUCUCAGAAAGUUGAAAGAAAUCCCUCCAGAAAACAUUGCUCUAACAAUUAAAGCAUCCAAGUGCUUGCGGUCUUGCAAUGCCCAUGAUUUUUCCAAUUGAGAAACAGGCCCCCUCUUGGUCCUCUUGCUGUUGUCUGAAGGAGCUACAGGCAAAGAAACAGUGCGUGCCUUUGAUCUUUCCAAUAGCUCCUUACACUUUUCCACUUCCCUCCUCAUGUCACUCAGCAUUUCAAAUGAAACAUUUGGACAUGUCUUAAUCCCGUGUCUUAAUUUUUGCAGCAAAUGAGCUUCAACUCUUGUAUAGCUAGUGCUUUUUGAAAAUGGACAAUAGUUGCAUCUCCAUAAUAUAUUUCCUCCACCAGGUUUAGGCUUCUCUAGAAUGGUGACAUGAUCCCACAAUGGAGCCCUGAUAUCAGUUAUUUGUCUGGACCCAGAUCCAACACUAGAACUAGCAGCAGAACUAGCACUAGAACUAGCAGCAGUAGCACUCAGAUUUGGAGAUGCCAUACUGCUGAAAUUGAAAGCUCUAACAGGGGAAGGGAGAGAACGAUGUCAAGAACCUUGCUGCAGCCGCGCGGGCGUGGGUCGUCGUCGUCGCAGUGGCGGCGCAGGCGCGAGUCGGGCGUGGGGACGAGCUGGGGUAGGGCAACACAUUAGCCGCUGCUUAUAUACUCCUUUCAACAGGGCUCCUUUAGAUGGGCUUUAAACUGGGCCGUAUCCACCGAAGAUACGUAUCGAAUCUGAGGUUUCCCGGCCCAAUACGGCCCACCUCGCGGAUACGCCCAGGAUACGUAUCGUCGGUGUAUCCGUCGCGUAUCAGUAUCGGAUACGUAUCCGAUACGCGAUACGUAUCCGAUAUGAGUAAGAAACGGUAUUUACAAAUAUAUUUAAGGGUAAAUGUCUUCUUUUGGUGGACUGUAGGGGAAGUAUGUCACCAGUAGAAACCUACGAGACAGGCUCUACUGUGAACUUGAGCGAAAUUUGGCAAUGAAAGUUGAGGACGGUGAAACUUCUGAUACGUUCAAUGUCAGCUGGCACGGUACUCUGCAUAUCACAAUAUUGAUAGACAACAUGCGUGGAGAAGGGUACGAGUUCAUGGUGGGUCCACCCAAGGUUAUCAAAAAAAGAGUGAAUGACAAGUUAUUGGAACCUUUUGAGAGAUUGCUAUCGUAGAGGGGCCGUAGUGGAACUUCAUGGUGGACGGCGUGGACAUAUGAUCAAUAUGCAAUGCAAGGAACUGGGUUGCUUUUGAGGAUAGAACAAGUACAACCUACGCUCUUGCAAGUUCACAAGACCAAGGCCUGAUGUUCAUUGGACCAGGAGUUGAUGUGUACUAAGGCCUGGGGGCUUUGUCCUUGAAUGUCUGCAAGAAGAAAGCUGCCACAAAUGUCCGUUCCAACAAAGAAUAAACAGUUGUUCUGGAUUCGCCCAUGGAAUACAGUCUGGACGACUGCAUAGAAUACAGUCAAGAAGAUGAACUUGUUGAAGUCACUCCCUCGAGCAUCCAGAUGAGCAAGAAUCCUAAGACGGCAAAGAAAUUGCGUUGAAAAUGUCAUGAGGAAAGAGAGCUAGCCUAAUAUGCGCAUCAGUAUGCGAAUGCAACUAUCAUCCUGUCUAAGAUGCCAGAC